CAUUAAAGCGGCACGCGAGCUGGGUUCAGAACGACGUGAGACAGUUCGGUCCCUAUCCGUCGCGGGCGCAGGAAAAAUGAGAGGAGCAGUCCUUAGUACGAGAGGACCGGGAUGGACACACCGCUGGAGUACCAGUUGUUCCGCCAGGAGCAACGCUGGGUAGCUAAGUGUGGCAGGGAUAAACGCUGAAAGCAUCUAAGCGUGAAGCCCCCCUCAAGAUGAGAAUUCCCAUUUCUU
Molecule: ribosomal RNA, 237 nt
Filed under: Listeria monocytogenes
Lineage: Bacteria; Bacillati; Bacillota; Bacilli; Caryophanales; Listeriaceae
Description: partial 23S ribosomal RNA
Rfam family: Bacterial large subunit ribosomal RNA
Source: RNAcentral